GAUGAACGCUGGCGGCGUGCCUAAUACAUGCAAGUCGAGCGAACGGACGAGAAGCUUGCUUCUCUGAUGUUAGCGGCGGACGGGUGAGUAACACGUGGCUAACCUACCUAUAAGACUGGGAUAACUUCGGGAAACCGGAGAUAAUACAGGAUAAUAUUUUGAACCGCAUGGUUCAAAAGUGAAAGACGGUCUUGCUGUCACUUAUAGAUGGAUCCGCGCUGCAUUAGCUAGUUGGUAAGGUAACGGCUUACCAAGGCAACGAUGCAUAGCCGACCUGAGAGGGUGAUCAGCCACACUGGAACUGAGACACGGUCCAGACUCCUACGGGAGGCAGCAGUAGGGAAUCUUCCGCAAUGGGCGAAAGCCUGACGGAGCAACGCCGCGUGAGUGAUGAAGGUCUUCGGAUCGUAAAACUCUGUUAUUAGGGAAGAACAUAUGUGUAAGUAACUGUGCACAUCUUGACGGUACCUAAUCAGAAAGCCACGGCUAACUACGUG
This 497-nucleotide ribosomal RNA is filed under the name uncultured bacterium. RNAcentral's name for it is "partial 16S ribosomal RNA". It matches the Rfam family "Bacterial small subunit ribosomal RNA", at positions 28 to 507 of the family's 1533-position model. The record is from RNAcentral.